GGAGUCGGACAGACAGUCGCUGUUUCGCGAGACGACACGCCCCUCCGGGAAUGCCGGUUGGGAAUGCCGAUUCGGGAAUGGAGGAAAGUCCGGGCUCCACAGGGCAGGGUGCCAGGUAACGCCUGGGGGGCGCGAGCCCACGGAAAGUGCAACAGAAAGAUACCGCCAUUAAUUUGGUAAGGGUGAAAUGGUGUGGUAAG
RNAcentral lists this RNase P RNA (200 nucleotides) under Gammaproteobacteria bacterium. Its description in RNAcentral is "partial RNase P RNA component class A". It matches the Rfam family "Bacterial RNase P class A", at positions 1 to 171 of the family's 367-position model. Rfam says of the family: Ribonuclease P (RNase P) is a ubiquitous endoribonuclease, found in archaea, bacteria and eukarya as well as chloroplasts and mitochondria. Its best characterised activity is the generation of mature 5'-ends of tRNAs by cleaving the 5'-leader elements of precursor-tRNAs. Lineage: Bacteria; Pseudomonadati; Pseudomonadota; Gammaproteobacteria. The record is from RNAcentral.